GGGGGGGGUCAUGGAUAGAAAUAUAGCUUUGGCAAUGGGAGGAAUUUGUUUUUCGGAGAAGCGGGAAUCAAAGAGAUCGGGGAUUGAAGUUCGAGAAUCGGGCGAAUCGGGUUAAAAAUGUAGCAGGAACUCGGAAAUCAGGGGACCUAUAACGGUUUAUCGUCUGUUCCCAAACUCUGUAGGGGGGGGGCAUUAAAAUUUCGAAUAAAAAUCAUGCCCGAAUAAAGUCAUCUCGAUGUAUAUUUGCAAACUAUGUACUUAAAUUAAGGUUCAGAAUGAGUGCAAUGUGGUACAGCUAGAGCAGUCUCAGAUAAAGGAAGCAGGGGGUAAGAAUAAACUAAUCCUCGAAGAGAAUCUUCAAAACUCGAAGAGAAACAGCAGUUUGUCUACCACAAAUUUAAGUCUUGGGGCCUCCGCUGCUCAAUAUAUACCUACAUUACCCUUUUAUACUAGUGAGACAUUGAAGUUUGUAACUUUGCAGAUAAAGCAACAAUCUAUGCUUGUGAUAGCAGUAUCGAAUGUGGCAUCAAAACAUUAGAGAGAACAAUGAAAAAAAAUGAAAAAACAUCGCCAGCUUGAAAAAACUGGGGUGGACAAAUACAAAUUUUCUCGUCCACGCCCUUCAGACUCUUGGAAAAUUCUUUUUAAGUAUUUUUAUCUAUUUUGAACUGUUUGGACAAGCAGCUUUCUCAAGCAGCAUUUUCCUUAACGGUGGCUUUUUUGCCAGUGCAAAAAUCGAAAUCAGCCCAAUUCACGUCCACCCCAGUGCACCCCCAGCCCACCUCGUGGCGACGCCACUGAGAGAGAUACAUUUAAGAUUGCACAAGUGUCACAUUAUGGUAUUUGGUGAUGAAAAUAAAAAUGUUUCUUUGGAUAAUAGAAGUUGAGAAAUAAUUUUUUUGCAUCCUAUUUCCUAACGCAUUUGCACCUUUCUGAGAAAAAUUACAUCUAAGACAAAGUUUAGCAAAAAUUUAACAUUUGUCUGUCAAAAUUGUUUCUGUUUCAUUCCGAAAGGACCCAGAAUGGGGACUUUAGAUCCUACUACCCCUCCUAUAAUACCUUGCUCGCUUUUCGAGAAAAUUGAUAGCAACAUUCGAUGGUGUUUAAACAGGGUUCGACAUGAAAUCAAUGUUUUAUAUUAUAAUGAAAGAACAAUACAUGGUUAGGUGGUACGAAAUGAGUAAAAAGUUACCAGGAGUUUCUCACAGUUUAAAAGAGGGUCAAAAGAACGAAGUGAGAGAAGAAGGGAACGAUUGGAUUCAGACAAAUCGAAUAAGCCUUAACUUUUGUAUAGGAAAAAAUAAAGGACGCCCCUUCUUAAAUGACAACCGUCGAAUCUUUUAUGGUAAAAAGUAUUUAAAUAUGAUCGUAUAGUGAGGUAGCGGCCCCUUAUCCAUGCCCUCCCACCACUAAUUGUGAGUAUCGGAGAUUGAGUUCUGAAAUAUCACCCUUGGACCUUGACAAAGAAACACAUCUUACACCCUGUUUUAGUUCGGAGUAUUUUAAAAAUUCAUGAACUUGGCAUAGGUAGUUUAGGAUCCCGCAUUUGCUAUUCAUGCUAGUGGCGAAGAGAUCAUUUAACUCAAGAACAUGCGUGUCAUCUUGAUAGCCGUUUUACAAACAUAUCUUGUUGCAACCCUGAUUUUUAUUGUAACAGAAAAUGACGUCGCAGCAUUUUCCACAGGGCUAGGAGGGCAGUUCUUUGGAAAGAAAGAGCUCAAGGUUCCAAAGAAACCGAGUUCAAAGCAGGAAAAUAGGAAUAGAAGAUUGAGAAUAACAAGUACAAAGAUUUCGAGAAGAUGUCAAGUUGCAAUGCAGCUAUUCUUACGGGGACUUCUCGGUGAAGAUGUCAACAUUGCAGGCAAAGGAAACUUGGACAAAGCAUAAUCACAUUAUGGUCUGAAAAUGGUGAUUUCGGAUCGUAUCAUGCCCAAUUUGUUAGUCAUGGAUUACUGAUUUAGAACCUCAUUGGUGUAGUAUUAAAAUUUCUCCAUAAAAAUCUGGUGUUGAAUGUGAUUCUAAAUUAGAUGACCUAAAAAGUCUGAUUUGAUCGGAGUACAUUUUAAUUGAGCUGUAACUCUGCAAGGCUCGAAUGCUGAAAAUAAUUGAAUCUCAUGAAUCGGUACGUAGAUGUUUUGCGCAGCAGAGUAUUAAUAAUGCUCAGGGCAAAUGAUGCACGUGUGACCUGUCUUGUAUUUGUUACUGGCUAGCCUCCCAAGGUAGGUUUGAGAGACACUGAGAAGCUAUGCUUAUAGAGCAAUGUCCUGUUCCUUUCAAUUUGACCAUACCUCGUGAAUUCUACGCCUGGAAUCAGAGAAACCUGGCGAAUCCCUAAGGAAAAGUUUGGUCACGUUAUAGUCUCGAACUUUUUGAUCUGUUGUCCGCGACGCUAACCACAGAUCUUCAUAUAUGACAUAAACUCCUUUUUUACAAGAAAGAUUACAUAAGGACACGAGCCUCAAAACUGGCAAAAAUUUGAGAACAAAUUAAGAACACGCUGAGGCUGAUCUACUUGAAAAUGUUAUGUUCAAGCAAUGUUUCAUCUCAAAAACGAGAAGUUCUUGCCAUCUAGGGUUGACUUUUCGAUGCAUUUACUAACUUGUUAGCAAAUACAGGAUAUCUCGGUCAUUUUGCUGGCAAACGAGGCUUGAGAAUCUCCCUAGAUUGCAAUAGCUAGCAAUUGCACUGCUUAGACCCUAUUAAUUUAAGAACAAAUUAAGAACAAUACAGUCUCAGUUUGUCGAAAAAAUUAAGAACAGCCAGCCUGAACUUACAUUGCAGAUUUCAAAAGCAAACGGUUCUUUAAAUUAUACAUCGGCCAGUUGCGAGAGGUGUUUUCGAAAAUACCUCAACAGAGAGAAUCUCGCCUUUACAAGGGAAGUAUUGUCUGUAAUGACUCAAUUCGAGGGCUGCGUACAGAUUUUGCGAGCUUUGACAAUUUACUGUUGAAUAAGUAAAAACCCAAUAUUGCAGAAAUUGUUAUGAAAUAAUGUCUAACAACACUUAUCUGGAUGUAUUAACACCAGCCAUCUAAUUCUAGCCUAACACAAACUAAAAUUAUGGCAACAUGCUAAUUCUUUCCCCCAAAGAAACAGUAAGAAACCGAAUAUAGUUACCCAAUAUUGAUAAAUUUUUCAUAGUAUUUGAAAACAUCAUGCAUGCUAAACUUUUCUAAAAAGGCCCCUUACGGUUUGAAGGUUUAAUGAAAGCAGUGGCGGAGAUAAGGGGGAGGGCAACUAGGGGAGGUGCCCCUCCCUCACCGAGUUGAAGCAAGUCUGGCGCCCCUUUUUGGAAAUGGUUUGGCACAAUAAUUGUGAAAAUUCCCUUUAGAACGUGAAUUGAGAGCCUUCUGUCAAUAGUUAGGAUCUGAAAUUAUUGUAUAUAGCGCCCCCACUACCAACUGCCCCUCUUUCAAAUUUGUUCUGGAUCCGCCCCUGAAUGAAAGUACAUCUCUAGUCUAGUGCCAAAUUGACUUUGUAAGUACCCUGGGUACCAGAGCCUCAUUGAAUGAGAUAGUCGAGCAGUGGUCAGCGCUGCCCUAUUCCCUCACUGAGGCUCUGGCACCAAGGGUACUUUGUAAGAUACAUAAUGUCGCAAGUUACUACAAGUUCAACGUCAGUCCAGUCACUUUAUGCUCAAAUACACCCAAAACCCUAAAGGCAUUUGAUACAGAUAAAAGUGGCUUACAGCCAAUCGACCAUCAGCGGUUGACCAAUCGAAUUGCGCAGGGAGAAUACCAUGUGAACAGUUUACGCCUUUCUGUAAAUAGGGGAAAUCCCAGCGCAGCGCAGUGGCUCAAAAUGGUGGAUGAAGUUAUGGCUUCGUCUCCACCAGAGACUAUCGAGAAUCACCAGAGUAUCGAUCUAUCGUUUCAAAAUCAUCAAUAUCGGUUGUCUGGAAUCUUCGAGCAGCCAUUUUCUCACUUAGUGUCUUUGGCAAUGGUCUGAGUUUUUCCCUUUCACGUGCUCUGACUAAUUUAGUCUAAGUCAUUUUUGAAUUUGCUGUAUUUAUGCAUGUCAAAUGCGUUUAAUUGAAUCACAAGCAAUUAUGAUUCGAUCUAAAGCUGAAAACGUGCUUCUCGCUAGAAAAAGCAGCUGAAAAUCAAACUUACGUUAGUACCAGAAAAGACUUCUGUGACAUUAGCAAAUAUAAGAAAUUAAACAAUUUCUUCUGUAUAGAAUAAAAACGUAAAAACAUUAUCGUUACUGUUCGAUUUCCCUAAAAAUCAAAUGAAAUAACAAAACCGUCACCUUAAUUGAACUUGAAAAACACCAUAAAGACAUGGCUGUCGUCACUUGCAAACAGCACAGCUAGGAAACAAAUUAGCAGUGGGCAGAUUUAAUGAAUGUACAUUUUCGGGUUGUAAAAACGAGGUCAACAAAUCAUCCGGCGAUAGAUUUGUAGUUCAUGUAGGCCGUUCGAAACGUUUACGGGCGGGAUUUUUCAGAAAGGGUCAAUCGACACGAGGAAGUGGAAUGCCAGAUAGUUUGAGGUUUGCGUGGCUGCUUUCGAUGCCAGCGUCAGCUGUAGUUUUUAUAAGUAUCUUAUGAAUCAUAAACGUAAAAGAUUGCUCUAAUCAUGAAUAAAAGUCUUACAUAAUCCACCAUAACUGUUCUUUAAGGCAAUAAAUAAAGUGAUUAUUGUUUAUACAAAAACUAAUGUUGGCACAGUAAAAGAAACCAGGCUUGGCAGGGAAUCUCAGGCCUCCCAAAGACGGAAGGCCUCCCAAAAAGCAAGCAAGCAAGCAAGCAAGCAAGCAAGCAAGCAAGCAAGCAAGCAAGUAAACAAGCAAGCAAGCAAGUAAGCAAACAAGCAAGCAAGCAAGCCAGUUUGUGCAGAAGCAAUAUUAAGGGCCCUUGAUGCUGAUGUAAAUUGUCUAAUUACACUUUUCCCGCAAAUUAUCGAUUGGGACUCUGGCAGCCUUUGCCAUACAAAUGAGAAAAUUUUAAAUCAAUAUGUAUUGUAAAUGAAGAAAUGAUACGAAGAAGGAAUGACAUUUUCUUGAUACAGGAAACAAAUGAUUUCACUCCGUAAACAACAAAAGUCUAAUAGGUUUGAAAUCAAGAUCAAGUAGCCCAUUCCCCUUUCAUAAACAAACUGAAUGUUUGUGAAAUGAAAAAAAUGAUGGCACAGAGCGAGAACAUCUAGGGCUUUAGUGAUCUGCUGGGGUUAAAACUGGAAAAAGGGGGCUGAUGCUUGUGAAGGUGACCAUUAAUGGACCAGGUGAUAUGAAAACCGGAAUUAUAUUAGGACAUUGGCCAUUAGAUUGACUCCUUUCAUUUGACCUAGGAUUAGCGCUGUCCAUUUAAUUAUUCGGUCCAAAACCUUACGGUAAUUCGUUUAUUCAGCUAAUAUGAGCGUGGCAAACAUAGGUGUGGCAGGGUAGGGUAAAAAACUACCCACAUCUGAAAAUGUAUUGUCAUUUGACGAAAAUAACCAAUAGCAAUUAGUCAUAACUCUUCGAUCAGUCAGACCUGUUAAUUGUUUUGGUUUUAUUAUUGAUACAGUAUUUGAUCAACCCUUCCGUGCGCAUUGUAUUCGUGUGUAUUCGCAAAGUACUAUUUUUAUAAUUUCAAAAGGUAUGGUGCAUAAGUAUUUUGAAAACAUACAUGCUAUCUUUCUGUCUAUGCAAACGAAAACCACGUUCAGAUAUUCUUUUUAAAAAAUUAAUGUUUCUUCAAUCUUCUCAAAAUUGCAGAGAGGCUAAAAUCAAAAUUGAGCUGAUGCGAGCCCAAUGGCAUACAUUACUUAUGACUAGUUUUAAAAUAGUCGUUUUCCAGCAUUUUGAAGGGUGAAGUCACAAAAGUGUCCCAAGAAAAAGCCCCCUGACCUCCACCCGUUAAGCUCGCUCUACUCUCCCUGCACCCAAAAGCCCCUCGCUUUAUAUUCAUAGGUAUGAUAGCGAAAUGCUCAGAGAAUUUUCGGGUUUACAGCACGUUGGGAUUCAUGAGGACCUUUUCUGGACAUGUUAUGGAACUCUGGCUAGUAAACUUACCAAAUAUUUUUGGAACUGUAAUUUGUUGCGAGUCAAACUAGACAUUGAGCGAUAAACGUAGCAAGCUUGGAGAAAUGCUCACAAGGUAAUCUACUGAAUGAACAAAUAUCAUAUUCCUGAUAAUAUUAGUUAUUCAGUCUUAAAGAGGUAUAAAUCAAGAUAAAGUACACAGACUGUUUCUGAACAUACAAGGUUUUAGCUUUGCAUACAUGCUUGUACAUUUUCUCGUUACCGAAGCCACCCUAUUUAUCAUUCAAAAUCACAUAAUCAGUCAAGAGGAGUCCGGUGUCUUCUAUCUCCACCGAAAAUAUGACAAAUAAGAAAUAAA
Long non-coding RNA from Rhopilema esculentum, 6323 nucleotides. RefSeq lists it as uncharacterized. NCBI's taxonomy places the organism in Eukaryota, Metazoa, Cnidaria, Scyphozoa, Rhizostomeae, Rhizostomatidae. The record is from RefSeq and is a predicted model, not a curated record.